Molecule: long non-coding RNA, 310 nt
Filed under: Elaeis guineensis (African oil palm)
Lineage: Eukaryota; Viridiplantae; Streptophyta; Magnoliopsida; Arecales; Arecaceae
Description: long non-coding RNA (EGUI_LNC067541)
Source: RNAcentral
UGGGGUCACACACAUUAGAAGAUUCAGACAGAUCUGAUGGCUGAAGAGUCCAAUUGGAUUGUGACUCUGGUGAGGAGUCUCACUGGAAUGGAAUUUUGGAGGAGAGUCCCACUGAACUGGGACUCUACUAUUAAUAAAAAAUUAAUUAGUAAUUAGAUUACUAAUUGACUCAAUUUGAUUGAACAAAGAGCUUUGGAUCAAGUCUAAUUGAAUUGGAUUCAAUUCGACUUAGAUUGGAUUUGAUAUGAUCAAGCCUGAUUGCAAAAGAAAUUUGAUCCUGAUUCGAUCAGGCUUGGACUCAACUAAUUCC